RNAcentral lists this ribosomal RNA (456 nucleotides) under uncultured bacterium. Its description in RNAcentral is "bacterial SSU rRNA". It matches the Rfam family "Bacterial small subunit ribosomal RNA", at positions 49 to 507 of the family's 1533-position model. The record is from RNAcentral.
UAACACAUGCAAGUCGAGGGGUAGAGUCUUCGGACUUGAGACCGGCGCACGGGUGGCGUAACGCGUAUGCAAUCUACCUUAUACAGGGGAAUAGCCCAGAGAAAUUUGGAUUAAUGCCCCAUAGUGUUAUCGAAUCGCAUGGUUUGAUAACUAAAGUUCCAACGGUAUAAGAUGAGCAUGCGUCCCAUUAGCUAGUUGGUAAGGUAACGGCUUACCAAGGCUACGAUGGGUAGGGGUCCUGAGAGGGAGAUCCCCCACACUGGUACUGAGACACGGACCAGACUCCUACGGGAGGCAGCAGUGAGGAAUAUUGGACAAUGGGCGCAAGCCUGAUCCAGCCAUGCCGCGUGCAGGAUGACGGUCCUAUGGAUUGUAAACUGCUUUUAUACAGGAAGAAACACUCCGACGUGUCGGAGCUUGACGGUACUGUAAGAAUAAGGAUCGGCUAACUCCGUG